AACGAACGCUGGCGGCAUGCCUAACACAUGCAAGUCGAACGAGACCUUCGGGUCUAGUGGCGCACGGGUGCGUAACGCGUGGGAACCUGCCCUUAGGUUCGGAAUAACUCCCCGAAAGGGGUGCUAAUACCGGAUAAUGUCUUCGGACCAAAGAUUUAUCGCCUUUGGAUGGGCCCGCGUUGGAUUAGCUAGUUGGUAGGGUAAAAGCCUACCAAGGCGACGAUCCAUAGCUGGUCUGAGAGGAUGAUCAGCCACACUGGGACUGAGACACGGCCCAGACUCCUACGGGAGGCAGCAGUGGGGAAUAUUGGACAAUGGGCGAAAGCCUGAUCCAGCAAUGCCGCGUGAAUGAUGAAGGCCUUAGGGUUGUAAAGCUCUUUUACCCGGGAUGAUAAUGACAGUACCGGGAGAAUAAGCGCCGGCUAACUCCGUG
RNAcentral lists this ribosomal RNA (433 nucleotides) under uncultured bacterium. RNAcentral's name for it is "partial 16S ribosomal RNA". It matches the Rfam family "Bacterial small subunit ribosomal RNA", at positions 29 to 507 of the family's 1533-position model. The record is from RNAcentral.